GUCAUUUGGUGGGUUUUGAGUGAAAUCCAAUCUCUAGAACUAUACAAUACACCAACCACCCCAUUUCAGAAUGAACUUCGUAGGAACCUGAAUUGUCUGAUUUCAAGGACCAAUCGAUAUCGAAUUGAGUCCAAAACUUGGGGAACAUCAUAAUAUUGUGGGAGGAGUCAUUUGGUAGGUUUUGAGUGAAAUCCAAUCUCUAGAACUAUACAAUACACCAACCACCACAUUUCAGAACGAACUUCGUACGAACCUGAAUUGUCCGAUUUCAUUGACCAAUCGAUAACGAAUUGAGUCCAAAACUUUGGGGAACAUCAUAAUAUUGUGGGAGGAGUCAUUUGGUGGGUUUUGAGUGAAAUCCAAUCUCUAGAACUAUACAAUACACCAACCACCCAAUUUCAGAACGAACUCGAACUAACCUGAAUUGUCCGAUUUCACUGACCAAUCGAUAACGGAUUGAGUCCAAAACGUGGGGAACAUCAUAAUAUUGUGGGGAGGAGUCAUUUGGUGGGUUUUGAGUGAAAUCCAAUCUCUAGAACUAUACAAUACACCAACCACCCCAUUUCAGAACGAACUUCGUACUAACAUGAAUUGUCCGAUUUCAUUUGACCAUCGAUUACGGAUUUGAGUCCAAAAGCUUCGGGAACAUCAUAAUAUUGUGGGAGGAGUCAUUGUGGGUUUUGAGUGANNNNNNNNNNNNNNNNNNNNNNNNNNNNNNNNNNNNNNNNNNNNNNNNNNNNNNNNNNNNNNNNNNNNNNNNNNNNNNNNNNNNNNNNNNNNNNNNNNNNUUUUUAAACAAUCAUGCAUCAGACUCACGCGAUUAAAAUAUGAAACUAUUGAAACGGACAUCUAUAUAAAUACAAUUGCGAAAAAAUAUUUGUCAAACUAUGUAAGUCGCGCGUAGCGCGUGAUUAAAAAAAAGCCUCUCGCCCGCGCGGAAGCGCGUGCAAGGAGGCUAGUCUAAUGAACUUUAAGAGCUAAAGGGAUUCUUAUUCAAUUAAUCUAUAUAUAUAAAGCAAAAGGCAGAGAAUGGUGAAACAUUCAAAAUACCAGAAAAUGCCCUUUGUUAAUUCAAACAUUAAGAAUUAAAAUUAUUAAUUAAAUGAGGAUAAUAUGGUAAAUUCAUAUUUUUUAAUAUUAAAAAAUUUAAAAUUAAAAACAAAAUAAGAUAAUAGGUCCUACUUUUAUGGAACAUAACUACCCUGUUAUCUUUUAUUAAUUCUAAAAAUAAAAUAAAAAAGAAAAAGAAAACCAAUUGGCACAUGCGUGAGCAUGUGUCAAGGGGCUAGUGAUAAUUUAAACUACAACACUGGACGUGGUGCUGCAAUAAACCGCAUUCCAGUGGGGAUCUUGGACGUGAUAAUAUUAUCAUUGCAGAUGGACCAUGAGUAUGAAUAAUACGAUGACAAAUAUACCAUUAUUUAGAUUAUUUAGUCUACUCACUUACCUAAAUUUUCCUUUGCCCUUGAUUUACACUUCCCACCAAAUCAUCUAUUGAUCCUAACAUCUUGGACGACUGCUUAACUAUGAUUCAUACUAAAAAAAUAAAAUAAACAGUAAUUAGAAUGAAGCACAACAAUCACAUAAUUAUAUAGCCUCAAAAUACCUCACUCAUUCCAACUUGAAGCAAAUGCAAUUUAGGUAAGCAAAAGCAGAGAUCGAGAGAUAAGGAAAUUUGUUAAUUUGAUAACAAUAUCCAGAAGACACAAUAUGAAACUGUAAAUCUCCUUCUACUCACUACAAUGGGGUUGGCUUAACCAACAAAGUAGAAAAAGAAAUGCUACCAAGAGAUGAAAAAUAUGUUCAAUUGUUGUAACAAAUACCACUUAAUUCCAAAUCCAAGGUUUUGGCAACUACCCACUAAAAAGUCCAACACAAAUCAAUGGCCAGUGUGGAAACCCCUACAUCUAUUAGCUGGAGAAACAAAGGAAAACGCCAGAAAACAGAAUCAAAAUUCUUACUUUAUAAAUUACCAUAAAGAACUUUUUUUUUUUUUUUUGUAGAUACCAUAAAGAACUUAAGCAGACCAAGUACGUGAUUUACACCAAGUCAAAUGCAGCUAGCUGAUAAUAUCAUUAAACCCAGCAAAAUUAAUUCACAAAAAAAAAAUUCAAAAAUCCCAAACCAAAAUAUGAGAGAGAGAGAGAGAGAGAGAGAGAGAGAGAGAGAGAGAGAGAGAGAGAGAGAGAUUCAUACCAUUGACAUCAAACACAUCAAAUCUAAAUGCUUUCUUCAUUGGUGCUCUAGCGUAACAACAUCUAUAUAUAAUCAAAGAAAUUCCAUUAUGAUCAAAAAAUUAGAGAUUAGUGAUAGUAAACAGAUCAAAAAGAGGAAGACAUGGUCUAAUAUAUGAGAAAUUCAAAUAUCACAACAAAAAACAGGUUCAAAGAACAACAACAUUGAGCAAAUUCCAAGCAAAUUCCAAGUGGACCAUGAGUUGCAACCAUGCAGUAUCAAUUAGAAAGCAAGUUAAAAUAUAAAUAAAAAUAGCCUAACAGAUAUACGUUGCUUAUAAAUAGCAAUCUGUGAAAAUAAAAGAAGUCCAAAGCAGAGCAGUCAAUAAAAAAGUAAAUGCUCACUUUACGCAUUCACUCAAUUUCCCUGUAUUCUGACUCUAAACGAUCUUCAGAAUCAAUGACUUGUUCUCAUCCAAGUACUGCAGUAAAAUUUAAUGAAAUCCGGAACAAUUAAUUUAAACCCAUAUAUAUAUAUAAUCAAAGAAAUUCCAUUAGGAUUAAAAAAAAUUAGAGAUUAGUGAUAGUAAACAGAUCAAAAAGAGGAAGACAUUGUCUAAUAUAUGAGAAAUUCGAAUAUCACAACAAAACACAGAUUCAAAGAAACAUUGAGCAAAUUCCAAGUGGACCAUGAGUUGCAACCAUGCAGUAUCAAUUAGAAAGCAAGCAAAAAUAUUAUUAAAAAAAAAAAAAAAGCCUAACAGAUAUACGUUGCUUAUAAAUAGCAAUCUGUGAAAAUAAAAGAUGUCCAAAGCAGAGCAGUCAAUGAAGAAGUAAAUGCUCACUCUGCGCAUUCACUCAAUUUCCCAGUAUUCUGGCUCUGAACGAUCUUCAGAAUCAAUGACUUGUUCUCGUCCAAGUACUGCAAUAAAAUUUAAUGAAAUCAUGAACAAUUAAUUUAAACCACAUAUAUAUAUAUAUAAUCAAAGAAAUUCCAUUAGGAUUAAAAAAAUUAGAGAUUAGUCAUAGUAAACAAAUCAAAAAGAGGAAGACAUGGUCUAAUAAAUGAGAAAUUCGAAUAUCACAACAAAACACAGAUUUAGAGCAAGCAUAUUGAUGAAAUUACUUCAUCGACUCUUAAGCUACAUAUUUUUGGGGAAAAUCACAGCUAAUCAGUAACAACAACACUGAGAUUCAGAGUGAUUAACUGGAAUUUAGAAACAAAGGAAAACGCCAUAAAACAGAAUCAAAAUUCUUACUUUAUAAAUUACCAUAAAGAAUUUUUUUUUUUUUUGGGCCAGAUACCAUAAAGAACUUAAGCAGACCAAAUACUAUCUGCAACGUAGGUUGAACAUGUUAGAGCUAAACGGGAUUUGCUUGCAGAGGUUGCUAGUCACUGCAUUGUGAAACUCUACUAUUCCUUUCAAGAUGUGAAACUCUACUAUUCCUUUCAAGAUGUGAAACUCUACUAUUCCUUUCAAGAUGCUGACCACUUGUAUCUAAUCAUGGAGUAUCUACUGGUGGCGACAUGAUGACUUUGCUUAUUAGAGAAGAGACUUUGACUGAAAUUGUUGCAAGAUUUUACAUUGCCCAAAGUGUUAUGGCUAUAGAAUCUAUUCAUAAACAUAACUACAUUCACAGGUUGGUUUAUCCAGUUGUUUACAGGCUUGCCAACAUAUUAGAAGCUGGAUUCUCUUGAACAGCAAUAUUAUAUUAAUAAUUGUGCAUCAGGAAGACAUGGUCUAAUAUAUGAGAAAUUCGAAUAUCACAACAAAACACAGAUUCAAAGAACAACAACAUUGAGCAAGCAUAUUGAUGAAAUUACUUCAUCGACUCUUAAGCUACAUAUUUUUGGCGAAAAUCACAGCUAAUCAGUAACAACAACAUUGAGAUUCAGAGUGAUUAACUGGAAUUUAGAAACAAAGGAAAAAGCCAUAAAAGUGAAUCAAAAUGCAGAUACCAUAAAGAACUUAAGCAGACCAAAUACUAUCUGCAACGUAGGUUGAACAUGUUAGAGCUAAAAGGGAUUUCUUGCAGAGGUUGCUAGUCACUACAUUGUGAAACUCUACUAUUCCUUUCAAGAUGCUGACUACUUGUAUCUAAUCAUGGAGUAUCUACUUGGUGGUGACAUGAUGACUUUGCUUAUUAGAGAAGAGACUUUGACUGAAACUGUUGCAAGAUUUUACAUUGCCCAAAGUGUUAUGGCUAUAGACUCUAUUCAUAAACAUAACUACAUUCACAGGUUGGUGUAUCCAGUUGUUUACAGGCUUGCCAACGUAUUAGAAGCUGGAUUCUCUUGAACAGCAAUAUUAUCUAUAUAUAUAAAGCAAAAGAUCAUAUUAACAAUUGUGCAUCAGGAACAUAAUGUAACUCUUGCAUUUGUAUUAAUAAUUGUGCAUCUGUAACUCUUGCAUUUGUUACACCAAGUCAAAUGCAGCUAGCUGAUUAUCAUUGAACCCAACAAAAUUAAUUCACAAAUAAAAAAGAAAGAGACAGAGAGAAACCAAGAUAAAAUUAGCCAAAAUAAAGAAGAUUAAACUUCGAAAAUCAAACACCCAAAUUCAGAAAUCCUAACAAAUUCACAAAUAAGAAUGAAAGAGACAGAGAGAAACCAAGACAAAAUUAGCCAAAAUAGAGAAAAUUAAACUUCGAAAAUCAAACACCCAAAUUCAUACAAUCCUAACAAACAAUCUAAAACUUGGAAGAGCACGUGUGAUGACAAAAAAGAAAUAGGAUUUGAAAUAAUAACCUGAUACAUAACUUGAACACUAUCCCCCCUGUACGAAUUUAAAUCUUCUCUCUUUCUGAGUGUGAACCCUACCUCCUUUAUCUGAGCACAAAGGAUUUUUAGUUAUACCAACACCAACAAAAAACACAUCAUAAGAAAAGCAACAAAAAUUGGGGGAGACUAUAUUGAACCCAACAAAAUUAGAAAUAUACAUGCAUUAAGACAAAAAAAACGGAUGCUUUACCUUCAGUUACAGGAUAGCAGGUGUGGUGCGGAAUGAGAAAGGAAGUUUUUCGAGUCUGGCCAGUCUUUACACCGGGUGCUCUUGGGUGAUUACUCGCAAUUUCGAUUUCGAUUUCUGAAGCAGAAAAGGUGCCAAUGAAGUGGACGAAGAAAAAUAUAGGUAACAUGGUGGUGAUGGGUUCUAAAAUUGUGGAAACCGUCAGCUUCGUGGGUUCUGAACCCGUGCAAUUUUUCUCCACGUUCUUCAGCUUUUCUUCUUUGAGAGAAGCACAUCACGACUUAGGUUUGUAUAGCACGACUCGCUUUUUCUUUUUUUUUCUUUUCUUUUUUUUCUUUUUUAAAUCAGGGGUGUUUUACUAUUUCACCCUCUUUUAAUUAAAAUUGUGUGUUUUUUUUAUUUUUAACAAAGGGCAUAUUCGGAAUUUUUGAAUGUUUCACCAUUCUCUUCCUUUUGCUUUAUAUAUAUAGAUAGAUAUAAUAAACUCAGAUGAACAAGUAAGACAUUUAUAAUAAUAAUCCGAUAUCUAAAUAAUCCAAUACCAAUAUCCAAACAUCCCUUUUUCCACAACCAUAUUCGAAUUCCAGGCUGGCACAAAUAGUAACGUCAUUCAAUAUAAAAACAAGCAUCAAUUCGCACUAUCCCCUAACCCAAUUUAUAUCACAUAUAACACUUACCCUUUCCUUCCCUUAAUCUUGUACCCAUUAUCUAUAUAUGUAUAUAUCUAUAUUACACAAUUCACACCAUCAUCAUGUAUUACGAGAAAACAAUCCAACACGGGGAUCGUUUUAACUAGACCAUGGUAGAAUCUUCAAUACGCAUGUGGCUAGGGAAUAGCAGUCCAACCAGGGGACUAUUGCUUCCCAGACAUGCAUGGUAGAAUCGGCAAUACACGUGCGACUAAAACAAGUCUUACGUGCAUGGAAUGCCAGUCAAGGCCUAUGGCACACCCAGCCAAGGGUGCCUGGGUCAUCAACAUCUCACAUGUCGGAAAAUACCUCAACACACGUGUGGUUAUCAUCCAUAUCGAAUUAGGGAAGGUACAUAUAAUGGUGCAAUUCACAAACCCAUAUAAUAUAAAAUAAUAUUCCUUCCUUUAAUUCAAAUUCCCAAAUUCUCAAUAUUCAAAAGUACCGAAUCCUACUUACAUAGACAUCCGGACAUUAAUAGUGUCCAUAACGUAAUACCCAAUAUUUAUACGUAAUAUAGAUAUCAACUCUCAAAGGCAGAAAUUCCACAACCCAAAAUAUUCAUAAACUCCAAUAAAUCCAUAAAAUACCAUAAAAUUCAUAGUCUCAAUAAUCAAAAUAAUCCAAAUUAUAUAAAUACGCAAGACAAUUCAUAAAACACUUUAAUAAUAAACCCCAUAUCACCCAAACCAUAUAUUUUAAUAAAAACCAUAAUAACAAUAAUAAUCCCUGGAAACCCAUAUCACAUUCCAAUAAAAUCAUAGCCAAAACAUAUAUCAAAGCUCAAUAAACCAAAUAAGCCAAGUUCUAAAUCAAAUCUCAUUUAUGCAUGCAAUUCCAUAUUGGAAAAGUAAUGCUCAUUCAAAACAAUGUCCACUCACUUCCUAAUAAUCAUAGCUGAGUCCCAAGAGUCGCUUUCACAACCAAUCAAUCAAGUAUCUCAAAAUCAUAUAUUCUAUAACUUCAAAUAUCAGUAUAACAUCUGAUAACCCCUACAAUUAAAACAAUAAUAUAAUCUCAUAAUCCCAACAUAACUCAAAUAACUCAAAUAACAAUCAAGACUAGUUUAUAAGGUCAUUCUAGUACUUUUCGAAUGGUGAAACUACCUCGGAAGACUCAUGGUCAACUGAGGGGUCAAACUUCCCAUAUUGGUCAAUGGGGCCCACAGGGCCCACGACCUCUGAUUUCAUAUCAGAAAGUUCCUAUGAGUUCAACAAAGGCUACCCAACAAGUCCUGUAAGUUUGGUCUCGAUUGAGUAGUCGGAUCUAAGCCAAUCAUACAAUCGGACGACAAUUGCUUCGCCUAACCUUAGAAUAAUUGAUUCGGAGUAUGUGGGACUCCGAUUCUCGAUUCACGAGUUCCUACACGAUCUUAGAGGUACAAAGAAUGACAUAUUUGGAAUUAGGAUCGAUCGAACGGUCCGAACCUAUCGAACCCGAAUAUCACAUAUUGGGUGCAAUAUCAGUUCGACUGUCAUAAGGUAACUAAUUCCAAAUUCGAGCAUACCAUAGUGCUCAGGACGACAAGAGGAACAUUUUAGAACACAAUGGGCCACCACCUAGUGACCCAUGCCUUGCCACUCGUUGCUGGCAGCGCGUGGAUGUCUUGAGAAAUUUUCUGUGACGGAAAUUUCUCGAAACACCCUACCAAUACCUAUACCAAUACAUUCAAACUAACAGAGGGACUGGAUCGAAUCCAAAUCGUGAGCCCUAAGUGGGUGUUUUGAACGAGCUCUAAAACCUCAAAAUCGAUCCUAGAUGGCUAUACUAUCAGCUAGAGCACGUCAAACAGAUGAAGAGCCAUACCUUGGUCUACCGAAACGGUCAAUGGAAUCGCUGAAAACGGCAUCAAAAAAACUGUCAAAACUUUCAGUUGAUACCGUCAACUAUCCCAGUAGUUUCAAGCUACAUAAAGUACUGGGUUGUGUAGAGGAGAGGGAGAUGAAAAUUAGGGGUGGGCACGGUUCGGUUUGGACCGGUUUUUGCCUCAAAUUAGAACCGAUCCGGUACUAUUCAUCUGGUUUGGUUCGGUUCGGUUUUAAUUAAAAAAAUUUCAAAAACUGUCCGGUUCGGUUUGAACCGGUUUCGGUCCGGUUCCGGUUCCGGUUCGGUUUUGAACCGGAUUAUAAAAAUUAUUUUUUUAAAUUAUUUUUUAAUACAAUUCUCAACUGAAAUAUUAUUUUUUUACUUGAAAAUUAACAAAUUAUUCAAUUUCAUAUAAAAAAUAAAUAUUAAAGUGAGAAAAGAGAGAUAUUUUGAGAUUGAACUUGGAUAAAUAUUAGGUUUUUUUUAGUGAAAUUAAAAAUAUAGCAUUAAAUAUAAAUAUAUAUUGAAAUUAUAUAUAUUUUUAGUUUCACCGGUUCGGUUCGGCCCGGUUCGGUUUUUGAAGACAUGGAACCGGAUCCGGAACCGGUCCAAACCGGUUCGGUUCAGUUUUUGACCGGUUUUUGACUUUUUAGUCAACUCGGUUUUUUUCCGGUUUGGUUCGGUGCGGUUCGGCUUGGAUUUCCGGUUCGCCGGUUUGAGUGCCCACCCCUAAUGAAAAUUUUAAAACAAAUUUCGUUGGAUUUGGUCAUCAGAUGGCGAUGAAUUCAUCACCUGAAAAAGAGGCAUCACGGUGAAGAGAGAGAGAGAGAGUGAGAGAGAGCGAGAGAGAGAGAGAGAGAGAGAGUGAGAGAGAGAGAGAGAGAGAGAGAGAGAGAGAGAGAGAGAGAGAGAGAGUGACGACCCGUGAGAGAAGAAGAAUAGAAAUAAAGUUGGUUGGGAUACUGUAGCAAACGUAUUGUAAUGGUAUUGUUUACUAUAGUAACAAAUUUUAAAAUUUCGCAUUCGUCCUUUUCGUUUCUAGACCUUUACACGUUCGUUACAACUCAAAACUGAGUGUGCCACCUGUCUACGAACUCUUAUUGGUGAACUCUACACAACGGUGCCACUCAAUUCCCUAAAAUCCUUCUAAAUCAAAAAGUGACUAAAGUGCCCGUACUGAAGGAAACAUGCUUCUAAUGCUUAGGAAAUGAACUUUAGCUACAACCUAUACAACAAAACAUUCUAAAAGGCGAAUUCAUUUUGUUUAUAAAUUAUACUAGUUGAGCUAAACCUCAUUUUAAACCAAGUAUCUUAGCCUAGUCUCUUUGAACACAAAUAGAAAAGGGAAAAAGGGAAUAGUGUUAGAAAUAUGCCCUUAAAGCCAACUAAUUAUGUAAUAGUUAGAGUUAAGGACAUCUUUGAUAAGAGAUAUAUUAUGUUAUCAAUGGACAUCUUUGAUAUGACAUACUAGGUGAUUUAUACUAUCAAAGUUUGGUUGUAAAGUUUUUAGAAAUCUCUACACAACACCAUUCCCACAAUAUUUUCAGAUAUACUUGUUCAUAGUAAAAAUAAAAAUGAACAUAGGAAACACCUAUAAAUUAUUUUGAAAGAAUUUAUCGAUAAUGGUAUAGUCAUAAGUAGGAGUAAAGUAGAGCUUGAAAAAGAAGACAUAUAAUUUUUAGGUAUGUAUAUUAAGUCAGGAACUAUACAUUUACAAGAGCACAUAGCUAAAAAAGUGUUAGAAUUUCCAGAAAAACUAGAGGAUAAAAAGCAAUUGCAAGCAUUUUUAGUUUUAUGAAAUUAUGCUAGAAGUUUUAUCCCUGAUUUAAGAAGAAAGAUUGCAUCAUUGCAUAGUAAAACUAGUAAAAUAGGUCAAAAAUAUUUUAAUAGUGAAGAUAUUAAAUUAGUUCAACGCAUCAAACAAUAUAUAACUCAACUUAAACCUUUAGCAUUACCAUUAGAUAAUAAUUACAAAAUAGUUGAGAUAGAUGCAUCAUCAAUAGGAUGGGCAUGAAUUUUAUAUCAAAAGAAACAUAAAGAAGAACCAAAAUCUGAAGAAAAAGUUUGUAGAUAUGCAUCAGGUAAAUUUAGUGAUAUACAGGCUAGGCUUCUAGCUAUUGACUUAGAAAUUUUAGGAGUCAUUAACUCCCUUGAAGCAUUUUCAUUGUUUUUACAUAAUGAGAUAUUUACUAUUAGGACAGAUUGUCAUAAUAUUGUUUCUUAUUAUAAUAAAAUUACUACUAAUAAAAAAGCAGCCCGAAGACGGGUCAAUUUUGUUGAUUCUAUUACAGGACAUGGAUUUAGACCAAUAUUUGAGCAUAUUAAAGGUAUGGACAAUACUUUAGCAGACAUCUUAUCCCAUAUUAUUCAUUAACUGAUAUGCAAUAUUUUGGAGCGUCCUCCUCUGGUAGCAAAAAUAGUGGUACUCCAUCACAAGGUGGUAAUCCAUUAAGCAUAAAUAGUCAAGCAAGACCAAUAGUGAAUACUUAUUUUUAUAAUGAAAUUCCAGUACAAGAAGUUUAGAAAUCUUGCUUUAAAAUAUCGUACUCAAGCAUCAUUAGUAGAUAAACAAAAAGUUCUUUUAGACAAAUUUUGGAACAUUAGAACUAAUAAUGAAAGCAUGAGAAGAGGGCAUGAAAAAUUUAUUAAAGCCUUUAGCAAUAGUUUUUAGCAUAUAAUUAUGAUUAUAAAAGAGCAAAACAACAACUUUCUUUUUUGCAGGAAAAAUAUGAAGAGCAAAAGAAAGAGCAUGACACAAUAGUAAGAAAUUUUAGAACCAUUAAUUUAAGAUGUCAAAAUCUACAAGAAAAAGAGGCUAAUAAGCCCAACUCACUUGAGCAUAAUAGAGAAUUUUCCCUUGAACAAAAAGCUAAAAAUUCAUAUUUUCUUCAAACUCUAGCUAGAGAAAGGUAUAGAUUUUUACUAGAAGAUGUUAAGAGUAAUAUGAUUAGAUUAGAGUAUGAGCAAAAUAUAUCUCUUCAGUUAUACAUUCAAGAUUUUCUUUUUAAUUUAAAAAAUAAUCCACAUCCUGGUAUAAAAAUUAUUACCAAAAGCUGUUCUCAUUAUACUAUUUACUUAGCUAGUAUUUUGAAUAUAGAGAACCGCAUUUAGAGCAUAAACAAAAUAUUAUCACAAUUACUCGAGCAUUUUUAGCAGAAUAUGGUUAUUUAGGUCAACUUUAUAUUGAAAAUAAUGAUCAUUUAGAUUCAUUUUCCUCAAAAUUAGAAGAAGUCGUAAGUUUUUAUAUCCCCCUAUGGAAGAUUGUAAAAUUAGAUUUCACUAGCAUACCCUCAGAGUGGUUUAAGGAUAGUAUUUAUCCAGACAGAGCACAACAUAGUAUUAUUAUUUCUUAUAAUGAACUGCUUAGUCUAGCAGAAUCAGCAAAGACAGGGAUCCCUACUAAGCAGGACAUUCAAAAAUACAGAGGAGCAAUAAUAAUUGAGCAACAAUUGUCCAAUGAUGAUCGUCUAAACCUCCUCACCAAUCCAACCUUAUCAAGAUCUAUUCAGAGACUAUAUCCAGUAGACUAGAUGACACAUCUGAAUUCAGGAUAAACACGACAAGUACAAAAGUUUUUGAUGAAAUCUAUAGCCAGAUAGCAUAACAAAUCAAAGCAGAAGACAAUGACAACUCAUACUGGAAUAGCUUAGGAAAAGAAGAGUUACACAAUAUAGACAACAUGAUGGAAGCAUAACUCCAUGAGGAGACCUCAUCCUUUCACGUGAAGGAUCAUCCCAGCAGAUGAAGAAUAAUUUUCAAACCCUUUGGCUCCAUACGGCAUAAUCUAAAAAGAAGAAACCUUUUGGUUCCAUACGGCUAGCAAGAAACAAAUGGAUUCCUUAAGAACUCCAAAAAUAAAUAAGGGAAUUACUGUCCAAGUACAAAAUAAUUUGGCUUCUUUCAAAAUACUUCUUUUGCUUUUGACCUUUUCCAAAUGUCCCUUUUUUUAUAUAUAAAAUUUCUUUCAUUGCAAAAGAAGCUACAAAAUGGUACAAAUUCUGUAAGAAGUUUGUCUUUUUAUAAGCAUAGUGUUAUUAAUGACGUGAAAACAAUUUACACCAUAACUCCAAUUGAAUCGUAACUUAACUCAAUUUCAUUGUUUUUAUGUUUUAAUGGUGGUUUGUGCAUUGAAUCAUUUUUUUAAUUAGCAGUUUCCUUUAAUUGUUGGUGUUUUAGUUCGACUUUUUUUAACGUGUUAAUUUUGUUCAAUUUUUGUACUUGAUGAUUUGGGUAUCUAAUUGUGAUCUUAGUUGUAUUGUUGAAAGUUAUCAAAUCAGGUCGGCUUUGAUUUUUCGUCUACUUCACAAGAGGUAAAACAUUUUGGGUGAAAUAUUGGGUCGGAUGUCCACACACAUUGACAAGAAUUCACAACGUCUAGUUGACAUACCAAAAUUCUUCCGUGGGCUUAGAGGAUGACGUAGCAAAAUCAGGCCAGGAUUUUGAAGCUCCAGCCCACUGGGGCCCAGUGGGCCCACUUACUUUACUUUUGAUUAGAAAGUACCUUAGCAUUUGUGCAAGCAGAUAAGACCUCAAAACUCCAAAGAUCCAAUAAUACGAAUUUAAGAAAAAAUAAAUAAAUAAAUAAACUGGUAUUGCACAAGUUCUCUCUACAACUACAAUACACUAACAUACUCUGUAUCUCUCUCGGUCUCUCUUUUCUCUCCUGCUAAUCGGUGAGUCAGCUAAUACUCUCUCUCUCCUCAUAUUGAUGUGCAUACGCUGGGUUUUGUUUUUCCUCCUCUUUAGGGUUUCUUCAAUUCCGCGGAAAAUAUUCUUAGUUCCAGAAACUGAAUGGAAAAAGUCAAGAAAAUAGUAAGAAAGUAAAACCCAUAUAGCCAAACGUGUUUCUUGCUGAACAAGGAGCUGGAAGACGGCGACUUUACCUCAUUUUUCGUAAUUUUAAGUUGGAACUCUGCGCGUGUUCUUUCUUUAAUUUAGGAUUUAUCUUUCGUUUUAAUAGUUUCCUUCGUAUAUUUGAAUGGGUUAUUAUAUUAUCUGCUAAUCAUUUGGGGUUAUUAAUCAUUGUACCAACACCACAUCUCUGUUUGUAACUCUGAAUUCAACCGAAAUUUCCAUGAAGUACGCAUGUUGUAUAUCUGCUGUCAAUUCGGGCUGCUUUAAUUUUCUUAAAUUGUAUCCAGUUUGUUAACUCAUGGAUUUUCUCUUUGGAAGACCUUUGAACUCUCUGCUUGCGGUGUUUUGCAGUUAAAUGCUUUGAAGUGGGGACUGAUAGUUCCAGCUCCAUUUGUUUCUUAGAGGGUACGUGCCAGUUAUUUACAUUUUGACAUUAUGGCAUCUUCUCAUGGUAAUUCACACUCUGAAGCAGCAAAAAUGGAACAAAUAAUCACUGAAUUCUAUGCCAAAAGUCUCCACAUCAUCCUUGAAUCUAGGACUCCAUACAUGUCCUCACGUAAUUAUAGUGGUGAACAAGCCCUAUCAUCGCCAUCAUCAUCCUCAUCAUCCUCAUCGAGUGUGAGGCCGAGGGAUAAGUGGUUUAAUUUAGCUCUAAGGGAAUGUCCUGCUGCACUGGAGAAUCUUGAUCUCUGGCGCCAGAGCCAUCUUGAACCUUUGGUGGUUGAUGUGAUUUUGGUCCAGAGACCACUUGAUUGUGAGCCCGUGAAGUGUUCACCUAAAAGGGAUCUUGUUAGGAACUUGUCAUUGAAAGAGCGGUAUCCAUACUGUUGCAAUUAUGAGCAGGAGGAAUUUGGGUGUGAGGCAAAGAGUGAAAAGAUUAUAGAGAGAUGGGUAGUGCAGUAUGACAGUCGGAAGAUUAGAGAUACAAAUUCAGGGAGCAGGAGGUUGAGCAGUAAUACUUUACAUUCAUUGUAUAAGAAGUCGAUGUUACUUUUGAGGUCUUUGUAUGUCACUGUUAGGCUUUUACCUGCUUACAAAGUUUAUCGUGACCUCAAUUCGUCUGGCCAAAUUCGGCCAUUUGCUCUUACUCACCGAGUAGCCUCUUUUGCUGAGCCCUUCACUUGUAGAGAAGAGGCAGCAAUGCAGCGGUUUGGGUUCACCCCUGUGGAUACGGCUUGUGGCAGGCUUUGCCUUUCAGUGUUGUAUUGUUCAUCACUUUCAGAUGUAAGCUCUGAAUCAUCAACUCCUAUGUCUCCACAGCUUAUUCCGGACUAUGUUGGCAGCCCAUUGACAGACCCACUUAAAAGGUUCCCAUCACUUCCUGUGACAGGAUCAGUAGCACAUGCCUUUCCACCAUCUUCCUCAUUCUCUAGGCGACAUAGUUGGAGUUUUGACCAUUAUAGAGCUUCACCACCUUCAGUUUCCUUCUCACCUUCACCUACAUAUUCAGAACCACAUGCUUUAAUCUCUAACCAAAGUUCUCGUUUCCCACCUACAAUCAUGCCACCUCAUCCACCUGAAACAUCUCUUGUUUAUAAGAAGGAUACAAGCUUUGAUGAGUAUUCACCUGCCUUUUCACCCUCACCAUCGUCUGCCUCUCCAUCAUUGCCAAUCUUUAUUCCUGGGAGUCAUCAUUCAAAGCCUCUUUUACAAUCUGAGAGCGCACCAUUCAGUGAACGGACGGCUAAACUUGCUAAUUCCCCUGCAUUCUGCAACAAGCUAAAUUUGCCUCUUAGAGGUAUUGGAUCUGGCAGUUCUAAGACUGAUAAAACUGGGGGUUUUAUGGAGGCUGGUACUGCGGUUGAGAAGGUAUUGUAUUUGCUCAUCAUGGUGAAAUUUUCAUUUGAAUUUUUAUUUUCUUUAUUUAAGGUUUUUUCUUUUUCCAAUUUUGAACUGUAGUUUUCCUCCCUCGGGAAAGAUGAUGCUAGACAAUAUUCUGAGGUUAAAAUAUCAUCCAGCAGCUCCAGUAGGUCUUUCCCUGACGAUUUGGAUGAUUCUGACUUUCCUUGCCCGUUUGAUGUGGAUGAUGAGGAUGUGACAGAUCCAGGUAGCAGGUAAGAUGCAAAGUUUGUCAAGUGAAUCUAGUAUAUGUAAAUUACUUUUGUUUCUGCAAGUAUUUUGCAUAAGCUGUUCUACUUGCUUUCUCCUACUUGUUAGUAUCUCUCUGCAGUUAGUGUUGUUUUUUGUUUUUAGAAAUAAUUUGUAAGUGAAGCACAGGGUGGGUUGUUAUGUGAAAUAUACUCCAAAUUUGUAAGGGAGCAAGGAAGGGUAGGGUAGUUGCGCUGUCAAUAUGUUUCGUACAGGCUAAGUAAUGUGAGAUUGAUUAGUCAGAAAUAACAAGGGAACAUUCUACAAGAUGUAUUAUUUCUUUUUUUUUGGUUAGUUGGUUUUAAACUUAAUAGAUGAGUAACUCACAGUUGACACACAGCAUCUAAUGUGCUCCACCAUGCUUAGUAGAUGCCGCGCCACCCAUGUUAGUAGAUGUCCAUGAGGUGAUUUGGGGCAUAUGAGCAAUAAAUACAAUAUGUUUUCUCAAUGCAAGAGGGAUCCACCUUAAUUGUUGUGCAUUACACUCCUUUUCACCCAGAGGGCUUGAUAUUGCCGUUUGCAGUAGAAAUGUGUGCUAUGGAGUACAAAACACGAUUUGUUUUUAGCUAUUUGUUAACUGAACUUAUAAGAUUUAGCCAUAGGACUUGAUUCUGUUUUGCAAAUUCAAUUUUCUGAAAACCGGCAUCCUAGUUGGGCACAGGUUAGAAACACUGAAGGCUAAAAAUCUGCUUUCCAUAAAUUAUAUGUGGAUUAACUGAUUUCUGUUAACUAUUGUGUAAGAUAUUUGCUCAAAAUGGGUGAGAUAGAGAAACAUUUAGAAACCACCUAAUAGCUCUGACCUUCCCUACGUCUUCCGAAAUAUUUCCAUGCCCUCCGAUGAUUUGAGAUGAGCACCACAAAACCGCUGCUUCUGAAAUUUAAAUGAUCGUUUACGCUUGAAAUGACUUAGGAAUAGCUUAAAUAGGUGACCUGUUGGCGAUUGGUUGCAUAAUGGGCAUCUUUUUUUAUUUUAUUUUAUCUGCAAAAGUAAAAAAUAUAUAGAGGGUAUUGUUUGGUUCAAACUUCAAAUUUUAGGGAUGGGAUAAGGUUGAAGACCUGAAGUUUGUACUCAUACAGCACUCAUUAAGAAGGCAGACUGAUUCCGUAGAUAUGUGGUAUUUAUAUAUACAACCAAUGGUAGAUGAUAGUAUUGGAAACUCGGAAUUAGUUUCUUUUAAGUGCAUGGUAGUUUUUCUGCUUAGGAAUUUUGAUUGUUGAAUUUUAAUAUCAUUAAUAUCAUUAAAAGUAAACUCUCGCUAUGUAAAAAAUAUUAAUUACAUCCCAAACCGAUUCACUCCGAUUUGUGGGAUAUUCCUAACUAAUUGAUGCAACUGUUGGAAAUUAUGUUGUUUUUGUUCGGGAAGGAUGUGAUCUAUGUAGGAUUUUCCUUCCCUUUAUCAGUAGAAAGCUGUCCAUACAUUCAAGUGUUAUUCUUUUUGCAUGGAACUACAAGGAGUCAUCUUUUGUAUACUCAUCAAUUCAUAAGAGUAUGUAAAUAUUAGUCAUGGAGCUACAAGUAGUCAAUCUCAAGCUUCAAAAUCAUCAUGCACAUUAAACCAUUUGUAAAGUUAUUUUUGCUGAAAUAAGGUGUCUUUAGGUUAUGUGUGAGCCACUAUAUUCUCUGCAUUUGGUGUCUUUGUGAUCAUAGAGUUAAUGUGGGGCAUUCUUUUAGAUUCUCUUGUUUUGCUAAUGAAAUCCAUUUGCUGCUUUCAAAUCUAUUAAUUUGGUUUGCUAAUGUGAUAUGACCUUAUCUUUGUGCUGCAUCUCAGACCUGAAUCUUUUGGCAAAAAUGUACCUUUGUGUGAGCCACAUGUGCCUGGAGGGUUGUUUCCAAUUAAAAAAUCCCAAGAUGCUGCUGUUGGUGCGCUUGUACGAAUGUUAAGAAAAGCUCCACCUCUCCGCCAGGAUAACUCAAAUUCAGUAAAAUUUUGCCCCGAAAUCUGGGGCAACAGUAGCCAAGAGCCUAAUCAGCCUUUUAAGGGACAGGCAUCAGUUCAGCGUGAUGAUUCUUCAAGCGUCAUUUCCUCGGGGCUCAUUACAUCAAAAACUACCACUGUUGCUUUAGAAGAGCUCCAAAGUUACAGGGAGAUGAAAAAUUUGUUACUAGGGCAAGGUAGUAAGUCUCACAUGUAGUCCAAAAAUGCUUCUGCUGUCUUUCUGGAUAUAUGUACAGCAUUUUGGUUUUCAAGCGAUCAUGGUUUCAUGUGAUAUGGCUGAAAGAAUUAACUUUUUGGCGUCCACUUCCAUUUUGUACAUAUAUUUGAGAAAAUUUGAUAAUAUAAGUUACAAAGAUAAUGUAUAUAAUCCAUUGCAGGUUUUCCUCACUAACUUCUAUGUUGCCUUUUAUCGUAGUCGUGUAAUAAUUCUGAACUUUGGCUUAGCUGCAAAGUGGUAAUUUUCUUCUGUUUUGAUAUGCUUACUUUUUUCACAGGUAAUUUUCUUCUGAACUUUGGUUCACCGAGCAUGGAUUCCCAACCUCUGAAUUAGUUAACCAUAUUUCUUUGUUCCCUUUGUAACAUAGGAUUUUAGACCUAAUCAUUUUCAGGAUUGGAAUUCAAAAAGAGUCAUCAUGUACAUGCACCUCUGAAUAUUUUUCAUUUUUUUAGUCUCAUUUUAUAGGGAAUAGUUAUGGAAAGAUGUUCGUUUGUGGAUUAGGCCAUUCUUAGGCCAGUCAGAGGAAGUAGUGCCUCCUUCACCUUGCACUUGAUUUUGAAUAUCCUCAAGGUGUCCCCAGUAGGGGCUAGACCCAAGGCUCAACCACCAUGGGGCUCGACAAAUUAGAGGCAGGCAAAAAUAUUCAAGGUAAUUCUAUAGUGAAGGCCUUAUAGCUUGACAAAGUAGCUGAGAUGUGGCUGAAUAGACAUAAAGACAAAGCUUAUUUGUGUUUUUCGUUAAUGUUAUUAAAUAAAAUGUUGUGUUCGGAAUCUUGUCCAAAUUUUAAUUUUUUCAGGUUAAAAUGUUUAUAAAAAAAACUAACAUAACAUAAACCCAGAAAAAAAAGAACGUAAACCAAAUUAUAUCAUAAAAAAAUAGUCCCCUAAUUAUAAAUGAAAUUUAUUUAAAGCCCUGGGCUCUAAAUAGGGCUAAGGGCUUCCCCAAUGGAUUCUCUAAAAGGGGCUCAACCACCAUGGGAGCCUUAUAUUAGAGCCAAAUGCCAAAAAAAGCGCGGUUUGGAUCAGGUGAGAACACUUAUGUGCGAACAUUACGUGAGAACACCAUUGGAUCGUGAGAACACCGUUGGAUCUAAUCUAACGGCUGCAUCAAAAGCAAUUGUAAGUGUAAGUGUUGUAUUAGAACGAGGCCUUCUUCUCUUUCCUCCCUCCAAAACGUCGAGUUGAAAACAGACAUCCCCUCCAAAACAGACGUCCCCUCCAAUCCAGCUGUUCAGUUUGUUCAACUAAGUGGCCAAGUUUUUUAUCAGCUUUGAUUGAGCAAGACCAAUAACACUGAAGAGAGAGUGCCCCUAUUAUUCCUUAUUCGAUUCCAAGAAGAACAUAGAAGUAUAGCCCUCAUUUUUUUGGGUUUCUCAUUCAGGUGAAAGAAAGUGUUCGUAUAUUUUAUAUUAUCAUCUUUGUGGUUCGGUCUUUCUGGUCGGAACAUUCAUCAAUCCUUGAGCAACAUCUUGAGUUGGAAAGAACAUUCGUCAAUCCUUGAGCAACAUCUUGAGUUGGAAACUGGUGACCGCGACCGUUGUGCUGUUCUCUUGGUUUUGAAAUAGUUGAGCACGGUCGAAACAAGGGUUCAGGAAGAAGAAAAGUGUUCAGGGUUGACGUCCAGAUCUAAAAGGACGACAUUGUCAUAUUUGUAGAAAUUUUGAAGUUGGAAAUGACUCACGAGGUAAGUGAUAUACUGUAUUUGUCAAGUUUAUUAUUGGGCAUAAGCAUGAGUUACAUUAGUUUGUAUGUAGGUCUUUAAUAUUUCACAAGAGAAUCAUUUUCAUAUCAUAUGUUAGUUAACGUAUAUAUUUUAAAGCUCUUUAUACUAUACUUGUCAAGUUUAUUAUUGGGCAUAAGCAUGAUUUACAUCAUUUUGUAUAUAGGUCUUUAAUAUUUCACUAGAGAGUCAUUUUCAUAUCAUAUGUUAGUUAAUAUAUAUAUUUUGAAGCUCUUUAUACUGUAUUUGUCAAGUUUAUUAUUGGGCAUAAGCAUGAGUUACAUUAGUUUGUAUGUAAGCAUUUAAUAUUUCACCAGGGAAUCAUUUUCAUGUCAUAUGUUAGUUAAUAUAUAUUUUUUAAAGCUCUUUGAAAGCAUGUGCCAAUGUUGGUAUGAUGGUGGUGAAUUUAGGGUUAAAUUGCAAGAACUGUGAAAUGGAGUGUGAAGGACAGGUGACACCGGAAGUAAGGUCGGAGUUGAAACCAAAAUUGGGACUUGAAUUUGAUUGCUGUGACGAUGUGUUCAAUUUCUAUAAUAUGUAUGCUGCGGAAGCCGGAUUCAGCAUUCGGUGCUCUACAACGAGGACGUGCACAUUGACAGGAGAGGUAACAAGGAAGGAAUAUGUAUGUUGUAAACAGGGGUAUGCGUUGACAAGCACUGUUAGUCGUAAGAGAAGAUAGCGAGGCUGUACUCGAACUGGUUGCAAGGCUAAACUUGCGAUAUUGAAGGUGAAAGACAAGAAUAAGUACAUUGUAGUAGGAUUCAAUGAGGUACACAACCAUGACAUGACCACAGUUGAUAAAGUCCAUCUAUUGAGAUCUCACCGUAACUUAACAGAGUCUACAAAGGUCUAUAGUGCAAAUAUGAGCAAAGUUAAUAUUCUGGUACAUAAAUAGUUAAGCCUUCUUGAGGUGCAAGUAGGGGGAUUGGAAAAUGUUGGGUUUGUUAAGAGAGAUGUCUAUAAUUAUCUAAGGGACGUGCGUGGAGAGGUGAUUGGCCAUGAUGCAGAGCUGCUUAAGGAGCAUUUUAUGGCUAUGCAAGAAAAGAAUGAAUCCUUUUAUUUCAAGAUGGAGGUAGAUUCAAAAGGAAGGAUGGGUAAUGUUUUCUGGUCAGAUGCAAGGUCAAGACGAGCUUAUGGGUUUUUUUUCGAGAUGUGGUGGUAUUUGAUACGACAUUCAAUACGAACCGCUAUGGGAUGGUCUUUGCGCCUUUGUUAGGCAUUAAUAACCAUCGGCAUACAAUGUUGUUUGGUUGUGCAUUCCUAAUUAGUGAAACCACAGAUUCAUUUGUAUGGUUGUUAGAGGAAUUCAAGAAAGCCAUGCCGGGUGAGCAACCCAAAAUGAUCAUCACUGAUCAAGAUGCAGCCAUGUCAAAGGCAAUUGCUGUAACUCUCUCGACAACAUUCCAUAGAUAUUGCAUAUGGCAUAUCUUCAAUAAGAUUAUAGAGAAACCCGGCAUUGGAGAAUGUUUUUCGGAAAUGUGUAAAUGCAUAUGGGGUAUGGACAAGAAAGAAGAAUUUGAUGCGAAAGGGGAGGAAAUCAUCACAAACUAUGGGCUGCAAGACCAUACUUAGCUGAGCUCAACUCAGGCUAUGCGGGAGAAUUGGGUUCUAUCAUAUGUAAAACAUGUGUUUUCGGCUGAGAUGUCAAGUAGUCAACGGGCCAAAAGCUGUCAUUCAUUUUUCAAACAAUAUAUUAACCGAAAAAACACAUUGAUGUAAUUCAUUGUACUUUUUGAGAGAGCACUUGCUUCACAAUGACACAAGGAGUUAAUGGCUGAUCAUGUUGAUAACAAUGAAAAACCUCCACUGCCAUUUCAAACAUCAAUGCAACAUCAAAUGAGACGCAUUUACACUCGGAAAAUUCUGGAAAUGUUUGAGAGGGAAGACUUCAGAAGUCUUUUAUGCUUGUUCGAACUUGUAGAGCAAGAUGAGACGCACUGCAGAUAUAAAGUAAGUGAGCAGGUAAAUCCGGGGGUGACACAGAUGAAGGAGCUUGUGCAUGAUAAAGAUGCCGAUAAAGCUUAUUGCAGCUGCAAAGGAUUUGAAUUUUGGGGCACGGAGCGGUGUAAUAUAUGAUAAGAAUCACAAAGAAGUUAACGAUUACGUUGAUGGUUUGUUUUUGGUUAAGAGAUCGAAAGUUUUCAAAGUUGCAAGUGAUUUGACUGAUUCGGCUUUGUUGUGUGAUGAAGGUUUUGAGUUGCUGGAAAAAUCUUUUGAGGACAUUCGUGGGAAGCUUACAAGUUUGGUGUCAUCAAGAGCUCAUGUUGAAGAACCCAAUGGAGAUGUCGGAACUAGUUAUCCCCAACUCAGAAUCAAAGAUCCACAUCGAGUGAAAGUAAAAGGGCGUGCGAAAAGAGUUAAAGGAGAAAAAGAGCAGGCAGCACAAUGACAUAAACGUCGGUGCACUGAAUGUAGGAAGAUUGAUCAUGAUUGACGGAGUUGUCCAAAAUUUGCGAGCCCGUAACUGAAUAUGUGUUAUAUUGUGCUUUGAAAUUUAUGUUGUUGAUGUUUAUUAUUAUUAUUUUUCUGAUGUGGCGGCUCUUCAUCUUCCGACACAGAACUUGGUGGUCCAGUUGGUGAGAAUUUGCAGCCCACUCAGAGCACGCAGGACAAUGAACCUACUAUGACAGAGUCAUUUAUGCAAGAGUUUGAUUUCAUGUAUGGUCCUGAAGUUUGAACACUUAUUGAUACUUAUUUACAUUGUUUUUGAAAGUAACUGGAAUUGUUUUUGAAAGUAACUGGAAGCGUUAGUGAAUCUUAGGUAAAUGCCUCAUGUCCAUUGAUACUGAAUAAUGUUUUAUUAAACACAUAACUAUUUGGAAGAGUUUGAUUUCAUUUAUGGUCCCGGAGUUUUAACAUUUAUUGAUACCUAUUUACAUCUUUUUUGGUCGUGAAUGGCACCAUGCUUUCAAUAAUUAGGUGUAACUCGAAGUUUCGGAUCCAUCUUUUGUUGAAGAUGGAUGUCUCGGAUGCCCUCUGGGGCUUUGGAAUUUUCAGAACCUGAAGCCCUUGUUUGAAGGAGAAUGAGUUUGGGGGAAUCAUGCAAGGGGUUUUCUACACAAAUUUGCAAUGGUUGCAAUGAAUAUGAAAAUAUCCAAGGGAAUCUUGAAACCAUGACUAUGUGUUAGUAAGAGAAUCUUGAAACAAUCACUAUGUCUCUGUAAAGUCUCAACCAACGAAUAUCUGUAUCAGAGAAUCUUGAAACAAAUUAUCUCCUCACCGACAAUGAAUUAAACAAAAAAUUGUGAGCACUAUUACGAAAUGAAUGCUUCUAAUCCAGAAGUUAGUGAUCGAAUUGUGAUUGAACUCUAGGUUUGAUAGCAGUGUAAAAUGAAAUAAGCUGCACAUAAGCAAGAUUGGGCAUUAACAUUCAAACAGUAACCCAUAUUGGGCAUUCACAUUUAAACACUAACCGAGAUCGGGCAUUAACAAAAACAAAAAAUUGCUAAGGGAUUGCCUACGGAUUGAUAUGGGUAUCACUAGUCAUUAUUGUUGCCUUUUGCUGGUUGGUGGCCUUGCUCUGUUGGAUGUGCACCGCUGGAGAUGAUUUCCUGUGCAGCAGACGGGGUUAUGGCGUCCCAGUCAAUAUCUUUGUGGACAUCUGCAGCGAAUCGUCGGAAUUUCUCAAAACCUCCGUUGAAAGCCACAAACAUUGCCUGGCCUUGUUUGUCGCCUCCUUCGUGGAUGCUCAAAGAUCCGUACGUAGCAUCCUCCUCUGUCAUAUGCAAAUCCUCUACUAUGUGCUUUCUUCUUUGGGCACGAAUUCUCUGCUUCUCUUUUCUGUAACGAGCUUUGUUAACUUGCCGAGUCAAAUAAGCCAACUUCUGCUCAGCUCCGACACACUUUUGAGUCCAAUAAUGGACCAAGGAAGAGUUGUGUUCCAGUUUGUUCUUCAUAUCAUUUAUUUCCGCAGCGGGAUCAUCAGAGUCCCCCUCGCUUGCGGAGGAGGUUGGAAGAGGCAACGGUGGUGGAGGGGACUUUGGAUAAUCGGGGGCAUAUUCCCAUGAGCCAUCGGAGUCCCCCUGAUUCGCUUUGGUGCUUGAACUGGCAGACAUGUUGAAAAAAUCGUCAGAUUGAGGGAUUCGGCUGAAGGUUUGCAUGCAAAAAAGACGACUGGAAAGAAGAAAAGAGAGAUAUAAGGCAUGAGUAUCCCAUAGGCAUAAAACAACGUUUACAUAUUAUGUCCUGAAGUUUUCCAUUUCGUUUUUUCUCCUUUUGUCCCAUCACUUUAAUAUAUAUUUUUUUAAAAGUAAUCAGAGUAUUUGAUUUAGUUAAUCACAGGAGCCUCACAUGAUUAGUAAAAAUGUUAGCACACACUUGAAUUUUGAUUUAUCAAGUUUGAAUGAGUUCGUAGCAAUUUGCGAAUUUUUUUGCCAAUUUUUGUAUAUUUAGUUAUGAAUUUUGUAAGAAAAUAGCAAUAUUCAUUUAAAUUCACACGGAAAGGAAGGAUGUGGCAAUGGCCACUGGCGUACACGUGUGUACCUACUGAAGGGGGAUGCGGUCAGCUGUCGCCAUGUGUGUUAUUUCUUUAUGUUUUAAAUUUUUUAAUGCAAAAUGAUUUAAAAAAUGGUAAUAAAUAGGAGAAAAAUCGAUAAAUUACCCGGAAAAUUGCUUCCAGCUCCUUGUGCCGUUACAAAACUGGGGGAAGCUAUAAAUCAUCCAAAGUGAUUAUGAAAACUCAAUUUCGUACUUAAUUUCAUCUGAUGUGACAAUACAGAGUGAACACUCCAUCUUUGGAAUAUGGUGAUAACUUGCUUUCCUUUGAACCGUAACAUUAUAUUUUGCAAAAAUUAGAAGUAUACUUCCUUACUGUUCAUUAUCUAAUUUAUAAGAACACAAGUAUCAGUUUCAUUUGCUUCAUAUAUAAUUGUUCGGAAAAAUAUUUCUAUAUUUUCUCCUUUCAAUUGACAGACACAAUAUGGUUCUUGUUAUUUCAUUGCUAAAAUUAUAUAUUUGAAACCAAUAAGCAAACCUAUAAAAUGCCAAGUUACGAACAUAAUUAGCUACCAUAUAAGUGAUCAAAUAAAUGCUCAAAUCUCAAAACUCACCCAAUUACUUAAAAAAGGGGGAAACAAAAACAGACUUCCAAAUAAAUUUAUUCAGCAUUGUAUUUACUAAUAUAUUUUUUUGUAUAGCUGCAUUAUUUUAUUCAAAUGACCCAAAAUGGAAACACAUAAGGGCAUUUACCUCAUAUAUAAAUAUGCUAUGAACAUACAGAGUAUCGACUAAGUUUUAUAUUUUAUAUUACUAGAUUAUAUUGUAUACAAAUCUUAAGCCACACUACUUAUUUAUUUAGUUAACUUCCAAUAUAUAUAUAUAUAUAAACAUUGUUAUAUUGUCUUCUAAGUAUGUAUUAUAUAUAUUCAUUAUGUUGUCUUACUACUCUUUUUUCUUUUCAACAUAGUAGUUAAAUAAUUGGUUUUUUCUUCCCUAAUGGGGAGGGCCAUGGAAAUGGCAUACCCACCCCCGAUUCAACCCAUUGCCAUCCCUAAACGAACAAGAUAAAGCCAACCCUCCAUUACUUGAUUACUAUGCGACAUAAAUACAUGGAUUAUCAACAAAUCCACCUAUGUUGUUUCUAUUCCAUGCCUUUUAGGCGUUAUAAAAUAACACAAAGAAAUAUGUGAUCAGAAAAUAAUAUAAACAAACUUCAUGAAAGCACAACAAUUUAUGUAGACAAAAGUACGCUUAAAAAACCCAAAACAGUUUCCCCAUUUGUUUACAGUUGUCCUUCAAACCAGAGUUUUUACACCUUCAGGAGCCCACACAAAAUGCCAAAAAACGUACUCAAAAUGAACCACACAUUUGUUCCGAACAAAAUACUAAAAACCCCCAAAAUGAACUUUCUCCAGCGACAGUUUACUCCAUGGCGAUCCCGUCCCAGUUGUAGCUUGGGACAACACAUCUUGCAAACUCGCAGAACAGCUCAAACCCUUUGCGUGCUUCUGCUUCCCUCAUCUGCACAGACUCAUUCGAAGUACUAAACCUUCGAUCACCUUUUCCUUUCGCAAGCCUAACCCUCACUUUCAUUAUUUGGACUGAUCGAAGGUGGAAUUUCGCUUUCUUUUUCUCCUUCCCCAAUGUUUCUUGAUACCAUCUUAGACGUAUCUUCAGGCGUUUGAUUUCCAUGAUCAACGCAUCAUACCGCAUCUUGCCGAUCCGAGCUACAUCAUCAUGGUCCUCAGAUGAAAAGUUUAUGGACUUCGCAGCUCCAUCAGCAACAUCUUCAGCUUUAUUAUUCCUCUGUGACAAAGGUUCUGCAUUUUUUGCUGGAGAUGUAAUAAGUGUUGGGGGGAUUUUUGUAGGGGAACCCAUUCUGAGUUUAGGCUUGUUUGGAGCAAGUGGAGGUGCAAUGGGAGGUAAAAUACUCUUACAUUGGUAUUUAUAGAGUAGUCCCCAUUUUCAUUUUACCCGCCAAAAUGCCAAUGUUGACUUCGAGUGGGGAGCUGCAACUUUAGUUACCCUAAGAACUGGUGAUGUCAUAUUUGCAUUAUUUGUAUCAUAUACGAUAUUUUAAUUUUCUUUACCGUUUGUAUUUAGUAUCAUAUUUGCAAAGAUGAAACUGUUGACUUGGUCAUGUUCAAAUGUAAGUUACCUUCAUAACUUGUGAUGUGAUAUUUGCAUUAUAAGUACCACAAGCACAUUUUUUUGUUUCUUUACUGGUGAUAUGAGUUCAUAUUUAGUAUCAUAUUUCAGAAGAUGUAAUUGUUUACUUGCUCAUGUUAAAUUCAGAUUACCUUCAUAACUGGUGAUGUCAUAAAACACUGUUUUCAUUUUCUUUACUGUUAAUGGUGCGUUCAUUUUAAUAUCAUAUUUCAGAGGAUGAAAUUGUUUACUUGCUCCUGUUAAAUUCAGAUUACUUUCAUAACUGGUGAUGUCAUAAACACUGUUUUCAUUUUCUGUACUGUUAAGGUGCGUUGAUAUGAUAUUUAGUUUCAUACUUGGCUGUUAAAUUAUUCACAUGGUCAUGUUAAAAUGCAACGAAUUUUACCUCCAUAAGUAGUGAUGUGAUAUUUGCAUAAUUAUUAUCAUAAAAAGUAUAUUUAAUUUUUUGACUGCUGACGUUGAUUAGUAGUAUCAUAAAUGCGAACACCCACGAGGUGUACCUAGGCAUGGAGCCGCGAGAAGACCAAUUUGCAGCCAAAACCUGGAUCAUCGAGGUGUGUGAACUGUCCUUUCAGUUACACUGGUUAGGAAACGAAGCCAAUAAUACAUGAUCUAAACCCAAUGUUGUCUUUGUCCAUAGUUUAGGUGACGACGGUUCGUUCCAAUAUAUAUCUUUCUUCCUGAUUUGUCCAGACACACCGUUCAUUAUUCCUCCACAUACCUUUUGCACUCCCUCUUCUCCAACAAACCAGAUGGACAUCCCAGACUUGACAUGGUUUAAGGUGCUGCUUUUGGUUGCAAAGCACUCCUCUGAAGAUCUGUACAGCAUGGCGGGGACAUGCAAGUUAUUUGUAGAAAUGCUAAAUGAUCCUGAGGUUUGGCGAAUCGUGUCUCUAGAGAAGUACCAGUGGCAUCCUGAAUGGUACGGGUUUUAUCAAGAGAAACUUGUUGAGUUCUUGCAAAAGUGCAAGGAACACAACAAUCCAGAAAUCAUUUACAGAGAAGCUGUAACUCAAUUCUUCAUAUUCAAAGAUGAUGAGGCAACAACUUCCGGGUGGCGGCUAAGGUAGGGCAUAUGGAAUCCUCCUACAUUGUUGGCUUGUUAGGGCUGGUGAACCCUACGGAGGGUGAAGGGGAUGCGAUGGAAUUGUUGUGCCAUCUAAGCAAAACGAAGAAAAUUGACAUGCAAACAUGCAGGGCAUCAAUUAUGAAUCGACUGAUGAGGUAUACAAUUUCGAGCAUAGUGACUCCUCCAACUCUUGCAAAGUUUACUGCUGACAGAAAUUUUUUUCUUAACUGCGUUAAGUGUGAGGGUAAUCGGGAGUUGUAUUUCUCAUGGGACCUGGAACUGCUGUGAACCCUGCAAAUGGAAGAGGGAGUUGUACUGCUUCCAGCGCGAACUUUGUAGGCAGACCUGUUGGAUUUAAUAAAUUAAAUAUCCAUGGUAUGAUAUGGGUAUUAAAGUGUGUUUUGGGUUUUGUUUGUUUUUAUUUACAGGGAAAGUUUACCUUCUGUUUAAUGUUUUUAAUUCAAGGUUUGUUUAUGGUAAUGUUGUAGAUGUUUGUGGUUUUAAGUCCUGUUUCUGGUUUGAAGGUCUGUUUUUGUAAUCGGUGCACUUUUAAGAUCCAAUUUAAGUACAGGUUUGUAGACGUUUGUGUUCCAUAGACCUUUGUAGCUUGCGUGCAUAUCUUUUGGAUGGUUUUGGGUCCUAUGGUUUGACUAUGAGUUCUGAAAUGGGGAAUUGCUAGUUCCGAUUCCCGAAGCAGUCAUUCAUUGAAAAUGACAGACACCCAAAUGCCAGGGAGGUUGCGUGUUGUCAAAGCAUGAGGGAUUAUCCUUUCAGUCAGAUCGGGUCUGAGCCAUCCUUGAUCUUCUAAGAUACUCUGGUGAUCCUUUAAUUACGUUUUCAAUUUCCCCACAUUUCUUGAUUUGUCCUGCAUUUGAAACUAUAUUUGAAAGAUAAAAAAUAGUUUAAUAAAGAAAUCCGAAAUUCUAUUUUCACUAACAUAAUGAUUUAAAUAUUGAAUUUAAGGGGGGGGGGGGGGGGGGGGGGGGGGGGGGGGGGAAAAAAAGGGGGGGUUUUUCCCCNNNNNNNNNNNNNNNNNNNNNNNNNNNNNNNNNNNNNNNNNNNNNNNNNNNNNNNNNNNNNNNNNNNNNNNNNNNNNNNNNNNNNNNNNNNNNNNNNNNNGAAUUGUACGAUUUCAAGGACCAAUCGAUAUCGGAUUGAGUCCAAAACUUGGGGAACAUCAUAAUCUUGUGGGAGGAGUCAUAUGGUGGGUUUUGAGUGAAAUCCAAUCUCUAGAACUAUACAAUACACCAACCACCCCAUUUCAGAAUGAACUUCGUAGGAACCUGAAUUGUCCGAUUUCAAGGACCAAUCGAUAUCGAAUUGAGUCCAAAACUUGGGGAACAUCAUAAUAUUGUGGGAGGAGUCAUUUGGUAGGUUUUGAGUGAAAUCCAAUCUCUAGAACUAUACAAUACACCAACCACCCCAUUUCAGAACGAACUUCGUACGAACCUGAAUUGUCCGAUUUCAUUGACCAAUCGAUAACGAAUUGAGUCCAAAACUUCGAGGAACAUCAUAAUAUUGUGGGAGGAGUCAUUUGGUGGGUUUUGAGUGAAAUCCAAUCUCUAGAACUAUACAAUACACCAACCACCCCAUUUCAGAACGAACUCGUACUAACCUGAAUUGUCCGAUUUCAUUGACCAAUCGAUAACGGAUUGAGUCCAAAACGUGGGGAACAUCAUAAUAUUGUGGGAGGAGUCAUUUGGUGGGUUUUGAGUGAAAUCCAAUCUCUUGAACUAUACAAUACACCAACCACCCCAUUUUAGAACGAACAUCGUACGAACAUGAAUUGUCCGAUUUCAUUGACCAAUCGAUAACGAAUUGAGUCCAAAACUUGGGGAACAUCAUAAUAUUGUGGGAGGAGUCAUUUGGUAGGUUUUGAGUGAAAUCCAAUCUCUAGACUAUACAAUACACCACCACCCCCAAUUUCAGAACGAACUUCGUGCGAACCUUGAAUUGUCCGAUUUGAAGGACCAAUCGAUAUCGGAUUGAGUCCAAAACUUGGGGAACAUCAUAAUCUUGUGGGAGGAGUCAUUUGGUGGGUUUUGAGUGAAAUCCAAUCUCUAGAACUAUACAAUACACCAACCACCCCAUUUCAGAAUGAACUUCGUAGGAACCUGAAUUGUCCGAUUUCAAGGACCAAUCGAUAUCGAAUUGAGUCCAAAACUUGGGGAACAUCAUAAUAUUUUGGGAGGAGUCAUUUGGUGGGUUUUGAGUGAAAUCCAAUCUCUAGAACUAUACAAUACACCAACCACCCCAUUUCAGAACGAACUUCGUACGAACCUGAAUUGUCAAAUUUCAUUGACCAAUCGGUAACGGAUUGAGUCCAAAACUUGGGGAACAUCAUAAUAUUUUGGGAGGAGUCAUUUGGUGGGUUUUGAGUGAAAUCCAAUCUCUAGAACUAUACAAUACACCAACCACCCCAUUUCAGAACGAACUUCGUACGAAACUGAAUUGUCCGAUUUCAAGGACCAAUCGAUAUCGGAUUGAGUCCAAAACUUGGGGAACAUCAUUAUAUUGUGGGAGGAGUCAUUUGGUGGGUUUUUAGUGAAAUCCAAUCUCUAGAACUAUACAAUACACCAACCUCCCAUUUCAGAACGAACUUCGUACGAACCUGAAUUGUCCGAUUUCAAGGACCAAUUGAUAUCGGAUUG
This 28779-nucleotide long non-coding RNA is filed under the name Prunus persica (peach). RNAcentral describes it as "long non-coding RNA (PPER_LNC006167)". Lineage: Eukaryota; Viridiplantae; Streptophyta; Magnoliopsida; Rosales; Rosaceae. The record is from RNAcentral.